RNAcentral lists this ribosomal RNA (476 nucleotides) under Plagiochila sp. NSW855503. RNAcentral's name for it is "eukaryotic LSU rRNA". The stretch from base 23 to 176 matches the Rfam family "5.8S ribosomal RNA". Lineage: Eukaryota; Viridiplantae; Streptophyta; Jungermanniopsida; Jungermanniales; Plagiochilaceae. The record is from RNAcentral.
CCGAGUUGAAAACCAAAAUAACGACUCUCAGCAACGGAUAUCUUGGCUCUUGCAACGAUGAAGAACGCAGCGAAAUGCGAUACCUAGUGUGAAUUGCAGAAUUCCGCGAAUCAUCGAGUCUUUGAACGCAAGUUGCGCCCGAGGCUUGUCCCGAGGGCAUGCCUGCCUGAGCGUCACCGCACUCCCACCUGGACACCCUCCAGUGUGGAAUUGGCCGUCCGGGACUCCUUGCCUCAGGGCUUUGGGUUGUGGUGGGCUGAAAUCUAGCUAUCUGGCCGUGGCCAAAGAGAGGGGCUGCGAGAAGGUGAUUCGCUCCUUUGCGGGGCGGAGUCUAAUUGGACAGCGCCUCUCCCUUUGGUGGUCCAGACGGUGGCACUCAGUGUGCCAUUGGAUGGGGGGUGCAUUUUGCAUCUCCCCUCCCUUUACAGCUUGGACCUCAGAUCAGGCAAGAUUACCCGCUGAGUUUAAGCAUAUCA